Non-coding RNA from Rattus norvegicus (Norway rat), 788 nucleotides. The record is from RefSeq and is a predicted model, not a curated record. Lineage: Eukaryota; Metazoa; Chordata; Mammalia; Rodentia; Muridae.
AAGAAGGUACAGGAGAAGAGGGAGGAGAAGCAGCCAUGGCUUAAGGGUCAAGACAGCAUAGUCCUGAGGGCUGCCCAAUUGGAGUUAAGAGCAGCCCAGAUGGAACACAGUAAAUAAAAACCAAGAUCAUCAGAACCAUGACUUCUAUCAAAGUUUUCCUAGAAGACUCAACCCUUUUCUGGAGCUUUCUGAAUUCUUUGUGGACCUAUACUUGGUCUUAGGAAAAGAAAGGACGAUCUCCACAGAAAUGUCUUUGGGAAUAUCGCCUCCCCUUCCUCUCAUGCUGACUAUGUGAUGAUCUGCUGGAGCAGGAACUGCUGGAUUUGACUCCGUGUGAACUUUCUGAGAUUUCAAUACAUACCACCAAAUUGCUUUACAGAACAGUUGCCAGCAUCUCAUUUCUACUGCCUGGAAGAAUGUCCUCCCUGAACCCAUCCCAACACAGCACUGGGGUUUCUUGUUUUUUAUCUUUCCUGAAUUGAAAUUGGCCACAUGAUAUAUUUGUUUUUGAUAUAUUAGUACCAUGAAUAAGCACAGACCUGAGCCAAGAGGCAACAUGUAUUAAAUCCUGUGUGUUGUUCAGCUAAAGGUUCCAAGGUGACCCUGUGCUCCCUAUUUCCAAGAUGUGCCUUACAAUGUCUUGGAACAAGAUAGAGUAAAAAUGAAUACAUUGUCCAAGUUCUUGAUGAAUACAGCAGGGGCAACGGAUUCAUCCAUGUGCAAUAAAAACCAUGAAAAACUGUAGAGGGAAGUGGGAAACUUUCUGGAGAAAAAAAUAAAAAUAUUUU